Molecule: ribosomal RNA, 370 nt
Filed under: Androctonus liouvillei
Lineage: Eukaryota; Metazoa; Arthropoda; Arachnida; Scorpiones; Buthidae
Description: partial 16S ribosomal RNA
Source: RNAcentral
AGCAUAAUCAUUAGUCUUUUAAUUUGAGACUGGUAUGAAAGAGUAAACCGGGAGAAUCUUUUUUCAGUUAAGAAAAUGAAUUUUACUUUUUAGUAAGAAGGCUAAAAUAAAUCUUUAAGACAAGAAGACCCUAUAAAACUUUAUAUUUUAUUUUUCUUAGAUGGAGAAAAAAAAUAUUACACUGGGGCGGUGGAGAAAAAAGCUUUCUUUAAAAGAAAAGACAGACUUGUUUAAAUACCUAGAAGUUCUAAAAAAGAAAUAAGUUACUUUAGGGAUAACAGCUUAAUUUACUUUAAAAGAUCAAAUUGACAAGUGAGUUUAUGACCUCGAUGUUGAAUUAAAAGUCCUUUUUUGCGCAAAAGCUUAGAAA